AUGGCGGCCACGCCGACUACCAAGGUCCUCGUGUCCACGUUCCUCAGCUUCUUCUUCUUCCUCUUCCACGGGGCAAGCCCAGCUCCAGUGGCCAGCGUUCGCGGCUUGUCGGAGGAGGGCGACAGCUCCGCCCUUUUGGCCUUCAAGUCCGCCGUGUCCGACGACCCGAAGGGAGUGCUCGCCGGCUGGGGCGGCUCCCCGGACGCCUGCAACUGGACGGGCGUCGCCUGCGACCCGGUGACGCGGCGUGUCGUGCAGUUGGUGCUGAGAGAGCAGAAGCUCUCCGGCGAGCUCUCUUCCGCGCUCGGCAACCUCUCGCACCUCAGGGUGCUCAACCUCUCGGGCAACCUCUUCGCCGGCAGCGUGCCGCCGGAGCUCGGCAGCCUCUCCCGCCUCAAGUUCCUCGACGUUUCGUCGAACACGCUCGCCGGGACGGUCCCGCCGGAGCUCGGCAACCUCUCGAGGCUCAGCUCCCUCGAUCUCUCCGGGAACGCCUUCGCCGGGCCGGUGCCGCGGGCGCUCGGGAAGCUCUCCCGGCUGAAGCAGCUCAGCCUCGCCGACAACCAGUUCCAGGGCUCGAUUCCGCUGGAGCUCACGCGUGUCCGGAGCCUGGAAUACCUCAACCUCGGCGCGAACAACCUCUCCGGGCCCAUCCCGGCGGCCAUCUUCUGCAACCUCUCCGCCCUGCAGUACAUUGACAUGUCGUCCAACAAUCUCGACGGCGAGAUCCCCAUCCGGCCCGACUGCCUUCUCCCCAACCUGACGUUCCUCGUGCUGUGGUCCAACAACCUCGUCGGCGGCAUCCCGCCAGCGCUGGCCAAUUCGACGAAGCUCCGAUGGCUGCUGCUGGAGUCGAACUUCCUCGGCGGCGAGCUGCCGUCCGACGGCAUGUUCGGCGGCAUGAGGAACCUCGAGCUUCUGUACCUGUCGUUCAACUACUUCAGGAGCCCGCGGAACAACACCGACCUCCAGCCGUUCUUCGCCUCGCUUACCAACUGCACCGGCCUGAGGGAGCUCGGCGUCGCCGGGAACGACCUCCCCGGCACGAUCCCGCCGGUCGUCGGCCGCCUCUCCCCCGGCCUCAGGCAGCUCCACCUCGAGUUCAACAGCAUCUUCGGCCCGAUCCCGGCGAACCUCUCCGACCUCGCCAACCUCACCACCCUCAACCUCUCCCAUAACCUCCUCAACGGCUCCAUCCCGCCGGGCUUAUCGCGCUUGCAGUGGCUCGAGCGGCUGCACCUCUCAAACAACCUGCUCUCCGGCGACAUCCCGCCGUCCCUCGGCUCGUUCCAGCGGCUCGGGCUCCUCGAUCUUUCGCAGAACCAGCUCGCCGGCGCCAUUCCUCCGAGCAUCGUGCAGUGCGUCAACCUGCUGAAGCUCGAUCUCUCACACAACAUGCUCCGAGGCGUGAUCCCGGCAGGCUUGUCGGAGCUGAGCGCGUUGUUCUACCUCAACCUCUCUAGCAACCUGCUGUCCGGCGCGAUCCCGUCGACCAUCGGCGAGAUGGAUAAGCUGCAGGUGCUCAACCUGUCGUCUAAUCGGCUCUCGGGCACGAUGCCGCCGGAGCUCGGCGGCUGCGUCACGCUCGAGUACCUCGACGUCUCCGCCAACGCGCUCGGAGGCGGCUUGCCGGAGACCCUCAGCUCGCUCCAGCUCUUGCAGGUCCUCGACGUGUCCUGCAAUGGCCUCACGGGGGACCUGCCUCGGUCCUUGGAGAAUAUGGCGUCGCUGCGGCUUGCUAACUUUUCCUACAACGGCUUCUCCGGCGAGGUGCCGAGCGGUGGGGCCUUCGCGGGGUUCCCGGCGGACGCGUUCCUCGACGACGCAGGGCUGUGCGCGCGAACGGCGUCGAUGGCGUCUGUGUUGGCUAGGUGCGGCGGCGCGAAGCGCACAGUGCUCCACAACCGGCGGGUGGUGGUGCCCGUUGCCGUCACGGUCGCGAGCUUCACGGUGGCUAUCAUUGGGCUCGCCGCGUGCCGCGCGGUGGCGAGGACGACGGCGAGCGCGAGCGUGGGACGAGACGGGCGGCGAUCCACGCUGCUUUCGUACGGCGGCGACGAGCCGAUCGAGAGGGGCGACCACCCGAGGAUCUCGCACCGCGAGCUCUCUGAGGCGACGGGCGGGUUCGAGCAGUCGAGCCUCAUCGGCGCCGGGCGGUUCGGGCGCGUCCACGAAGGGACGCUCCGCGACGGCACGCGCGUCGCCGUCAAGGUGCUCGACCCGAAGACCGGAGGCGGCGAGGUCUCCCGGAGCUUCAAGCGCGAGUGCGACGUGCUGCGGCGGACGCGGCACCGGAACCUGGUGCGCGUGGUCACCACGUGCAGCCAGCCGGACUUCCACGCGCUGGUGCUCCCACUGAUGAGCAACGGCAGCCUCGAGAGCCGGCUCUACCCGCGCGACGGCCGCCCCGGCCGCGGCAUGGACCUCGCGCGGCUGGUCGCCAUCGCCGGCAACGUCGCCGAGGGGCUCGCGUACCUGCACCACUACGCGCCCGUCCGCGUCGUGCACUGCGACCUCAAGCCCAGCAAUGUGCUCCUCGACGACGACAUGACGGCCGUCGUGGCCGACUUCGGCAUCGCGCGGCUGGUCAAGGACGCCGACGGUGACGACCACGAUGGCAUCACCGGCUCCGCCGAUCCGUGCAACUCCAUCACCGGAUUGUUGCAAGGCUCCGUGGGGUACAUCGCACCAGAGUAUGGACUGGGAGGCCACCCUUCGACGGAAGGCGACGUGUACAGCUUCGGGGUGCUGCUGCUGGAGCUGAUCACCGGGAAGCGGCCGACUGACGUGCUCUUCCAGGAGGGGCUCACGCUGCACGAAUGGGUCAGGCGGCAGCGGCACCACCAGCAUGACAUCGUCGCCGUCGUUGCGCAGCCAUGGCUGGCAGACGCGAUGUUCUCGACGGUGCAAGGGGACGACGUCGUGGUCCAGCUGAUCGACCUCGGGGUCGCGUGCACCGAGCACUCGCCGCUGCUGCGACCCACCAUGGUGGAGGUGUGCCACGAGAUCGCCCUCCUCAAGGAGGACCUCGCUAAACACGGUGGCGCGGCCGCGUCGGUGGCGAUGACUGCCAGCGAGGGGUCAUGCACCACGGACUCAUCGUUCUGA
RNAcentral lists this ribosomal RNA (3108 nucleotides) under Triticum aestivum (bread wheat). RNAcentral describes it as "partial small subunit ribosomal RNA". The record is from RNAcentral. Lineage: Eukaryota; Viridiplantae; Streptophyta; Magnoliopsida; Poales; Poaceae.